AUAUGCAGCGAGAUUCUUCAAAUUAGAAAUCAUUUAUCAUUAAACAAUUUAUCUGUUUGCGAUUAAAGAACUGUUCAGUGGUUAUGAGAUUUAUUAAUUUGCUAUUUUCUUCGUAAUUGCAAGAAGCGGACCAAACUCCGAAGGCGUGAGUUCAGUAUGGGAUGAAACUGAUAGUGAUUAGUGUGUGCUAAGAAGCCAGAAGUAUUUGUGUGCUUCGCUUAAAUUUUAUUUUGCUCAUUUUUCCUUCGGAAAUCGGCUAGGAACUGUGGUUACAAGUAGGUUUCGUCACCGGUGAACGGGAUGUGAAGUCGAGGAUUCCAUAAAUAUUACAUAGGCAGAAAGCAUCAAUGGAGCCUGGAAGGUCAAGAUGGAUCAGAAAUAAUACAAUGUUUAGCAGCUGCAAGACGAGCCAACGUGAAUUCAAGUUAAACAAAAUUGUAUCACCAAAUAGUGUGACAAUGGAAUUCAUGGAACAACUUCAGCGCGAGAAAACAGGAUUCCUGGAACCCGAACUAACUCGAGAACUACGGUGGAAAUUCCAAAAAUAUUCAGUGCUAUCGUUUGGAGCGACCGACGGCUUUUUACUGGGAUGUGUCUAGUCCUUGGACCCAAUGGGAAGUGUCAAGUGUUGUAUCGUUGAUCGGAUUAUUCUGCACCUAUUUUGUAGAUCCAGUUUUGCUCAAAAGGUCACCAAUCGGAAAACCACAAGUUGCCGGUAGUGAUAGUAUUAUAAUUGGUUUUAAGAGUAAGAAACCCACCGUCGUUUCACCCACAAGAGGAUGUACGAAGUAACUUCCAAUUUUUAUAAUAAAAUAACAAUUAAACAACGCAGGAUGAUAUCGCACGUGAUCAUCAUCAGACGAGAUGGUAUUAGUUGCCAAAAUCAGCUAAAACCAUUCAUCACAUUCCAUUUAUAUCUCAACUUAGGUGAACGAGGCCAGGCACGGAACAACGUUGUUAUGUAGGAAGGGAUCGUGGAGUACUACUAACUAAAAUAGAUACUAGAGUAAAAUGAUUCAAACGAAAUAAAG
This is a long non-coding RNA of Armigeres subalbatus, 1031 nucleotides long. RefSeq lists it as uncharacterized. NCBI's taxonomy places the organism in Eukaryota, Metazoa, Arthropoda, Insecta, Diptera, Culicidae. The record is from RefSeq and is a predicted model, not a curated record. The transcript is spliced from 3 exons.